ACCUGGCUGCCUCAGUUGGAAGAGCGUGUGACUCCUGAUCUCAGGGUUGUGGGUUCAAGCCCCACGUUGGGUA
This 73-nucleotide transfer RNA is filed under the name Mustela putorius furo (domestic ferret). Its description in RNAcentral is "tRNA-Arg (CCT) (tRNA-Arg-CCT-9-1)". It matches the Rfam family "tRNA". Rfam says of the family: Transfer RNA (tRNA) molecules are approximately 80 nucleotides in length. The record is from Rfam by way of RNAcentral. Lineage: Eukaryota; Metazoa; Chordata; Mammalia; Carnivora; Mustelidae.